CCUAGAGAGGCCUAUAGGAAUCGCUAUUGGCACGCAGGCGUAAUUAUCGGCAUAAAAGAGACACUGCGAAUUCAAGAAUGAUGCUUGGGGAGCUGAGGUCGCAUGAUUGAUCGUAUGAUUGCCAUGCAGUCGUUGCAUCUAGUAUGAUCUACCACCUAAGGAGGCCUAUAGGAAUCGCUAUCGGCACGCAGCGUAAAUAUCGGCAUAAAGAGACACUGCGAAUUCAAGAAUGAUGCUUGGGAAGCUGAAGU
Molecule: long non-coding RNA, 251 nt
Organism: Priapulus caudatus
Lineage: Eukaryota; Metazoa; Priapulida; Priapulimorpha; Priapulimorphida; Priapulidae
Exons: 3
Source: RefSeq, a predicted model, not a curated record